Molecule: non-coding RNA, 12384 nt
Organism: Xyrichtys novacula (pearly razorfish)
Lineage: Eukaryota; Metazoa; Chordata; Actinopteri; Labriformes; Labridae
Source: the annotation of a GenBank genome assembly
UCUUUUAAAAAUAAUAUACAUUAAUAUCAAGGGUUCACUGAUAUUGGUUGUAAGUGCCGAUACCAAUACCAAUAUCAGUGCUGAUUAUGAGUACCUCCUGAGACUGUCAGCCAAUAUUUUCACCAAUUUCCAUUUACAGCAGAAACGAUUGGAGUUUUCUGUUGCUUUUUCCACAGUUCCCACCUUGCUGACACUCUCUGUGCCCGUAUAACGGACUGCAGGACAUAAGGUGAGUUAAAGUUGAACAACACACUGAGAGGGAAAGCACAUGUUAGGUGCUCUGCUACCGAUUAAUACAUUUAAUCAGCAAAUCAAAACACUGAAACACUUAAUCAGUUAAAUGCGGAUAUCGGCCCUGAUAAUCGGCCAGGUUGAUAAUCAGUCGACCCCUGAUUAAUGUCCUGGUUGUUUUCUUUUGUGUUGUUGUUGUUGAGUUAGUCCCUGGAUUGGCUUUUCAGUGUUGUGUGUGUGCUAAACUUAACCACAUGGAGGACAGUGGAGGUCACCAGUCUCUGGAACUGUUAGUUUGAGAGUUUGGGAACUCCUUAGCGACUGGUUAUUGUUUCCUCUUUUUACCAUUUAAAGGUUUUUAAAAGUUCUGCAGAAUUAAAUUGUGAUCUACAACUGUAACCUUGAGCAAAUAUACACGAUCACUGAAUCAGCCCAAGAACUUUCCACCCUCCUCUCUGAGCUCCUAAUUCAGAUGAUCUGAUUUAUUUUUUCUGUCUCCCUCAUUUAAGAAGACGCUGCUCUGCUCCACAGCGAGGAUGACAGCAGUUAAAUAACUCCUGGUUUCAGAGCAUGGAGGUAUUUAUUUAAAUCUAUUCUGAGUCUGCUUUAGAUGAAUCACCGAGCUGAAGCUGUUCGACGGGGCUGCACGCUCACUCCUUCAGCUCAGUGUGGCACCCAACAAAUCACAAAAACUACCCCUGAUGGAGAGCUGUGCAGAAGGAAACACUUUCUCUCACUUAAUUCCUACCCUCUUUUCAUACAUUUGAACUUUCUAAUGCUCAGGUUUAAUCCAAUCUGUUCUGAGGUUUCCUUUUUUUUAAGGUAAAACCAAAUGUCUAAUAUUUGUGCAGCUAAUCUGAAACAGUGCAGCUGAGCUGCGGUUAAACAGAAGAUUCGUAUCAAAUACCGCAGCCCUCGUGCUAUUAGAGCUUAUCUGAUCAGAAAGUCAAAUACACAGCUGAACUUAUAUGUUUUUCUUUUGAUUUAAGUUGUCAAAAUACACACGAAGCUACACUUUGGUGGAUUUGAAAGUCUCACAUGUGACUGUGGGUCACAUUUUUAGCACAGACACUUGUAUGUGGUUGCAGAAUAAUGAAAGACAAAAAAAAGAAAAAAGGAGUAAUCUUUGCAGAAAGUGAAGCCGACAAACACGAUUGCAGAGUCUGAUCUGCAGACAGUUAAGAAGGGGGAGGGCGGGUGGGUUUAUGCAAGGGGGGAGAAGUCUUUGCACCUGAUAAAAUAAGCAAGUCAGACACCCUGGGCUCGUGUGUGUGUACGUGUGUGUGUGUAUGUGUGUACGUGUGUGUGUGUGUGUGUGUGUGUGUGUGUGUGUGUGUGUGUGUGUGUGUGUGUGUACGUGCGCACAUCAACUUUCCAUCUUAAAAGAGGUAAAAGUUGCCUGCACUCUGUUUCAACUCCCUUUAACUUUGCUUUUUUCCACUUUGUGCGUCACUCAGUGUGACAUGCUUUAUUAAGUCCACACUAAGCUCCUUACUUUAAUGAUUAACAGCAAGAGUUUCCUUUUCUUUUCUCUCUUUUUUUUGAUCCAGACAUUUUUUAAAUCAACCUUUCCUCUGUCAUGUGAUCUGUAAAGUCGCUGAGAAUUUGUCACAAGGGGACUGGGUGUCCCAAGUUGAACAUGUCACCACAGAGUACGAUUUUCAUGCCAUAUUAAAGAGAUCUAUCGCUAAAGUGGGUAGGAUGAAUGGAUGUCUUUUCUCCUCAAAAUCUGUUAGACAUUGUGAAUCUUAAAGGCUGGAAAAUGAAACCAACAAGUUGAAAAGUUAUCAGGUUUUAAAAGCGUAUAAAUGCCUAUUAAAUUCAGGCAAAAAUUCAGAAAUAGAAACGGCUGAUGAGGUUAAAAAAUCAAAGUCAAAUCAGGAAUGAAAAAAGGGAAAAGUGUGUUUUAAAAGGGGUCUGUUCACCUCUUCAUGGAUUAUCAGAGAUGAGUUGUUCCAGCUCAUAUCCUCCUCUGAUGUGGCUCUGCUCUCUCCCCUCCGUCAGAACUCCAUUCAUGCCGAACCUCUGCUUUUACUCGCCUCUUUGCCAAAAAUUCAAGAUAAACUCAUUCAUCCAGCGCCCCACCUCAUGCCACGACAAAGAUGUCAAAGUCAGAGAAAGAGGAUAGAUGCAUUCUGGGAGAAAACCUGCAAGUUCAGCCAGGAAAAAGAAAAACAAUCUGUCUGUGAUUUUUUUGUGAAAUGCUUCAUUUGGAAUAAAUUCCCCUUAAAUAUUUUCCCCGUCUUACAUCCAGCUGCUAUUUAGUCUUUGGAGUUAUGAGGCUGCCAUUAAAACUUCAAGCAUCAGUAUCGCCCGGGAUUAGAGUCCGAACUCUUGCUCUCUCUUCUAUUCCAGCAAGGCAGAUGGUCAUUCAUGGAUGGAUGUCUCUGGUCCUGCUCAAGGUUUCUGCCUGAGAAAAGGAAGUUUUUCAAGAAACCGCUGCAAAAAGGUAUUUACUGGUGGAUUAACGUUUGGUCUCUUAAGAGAUAGACUAGAGAUAGAUCAAUAAAUGGAUUAAUUGGACCAAUGAAUGGCAUUUUAAAAUAAUUGGCAUGAUAUCAGCAUUAGCCAAUUAUCUUUUCUGAAUGAAAACACAUUUUUCUAUCUCCUUAGUGACAGCAUAUCAUAUCUAAAACAGUCACUGACUACUGUUUGAUAUUAACUCUGUUAUGGUGUAGUCACAAUCCAGGCAAGUGUAAGGCAGUCUCCACUAAAACCUAUAUCUAAAGGCCUCUUCCCGACAGUAGAGAGGGUGUUUCUCUCCUGCGCCCAGAGUGGUCAAUGAUUUCGAAGGAGAGGGGCCUGAUAACUAAAAAUAAAAAGGUUUUAGACACUUCUGCCCCGGGAUAACUGAAGAAAGUAGGAUAGAAGGAAUGACAGAAAGACAAUCUAAGCCUAUGGAAGGGUAACUUGGGGCAAUUCCAAAGCGAAUUUGGGCAACAGUUUUGAGUUCACUCUCAUCGCUGACCUAAACUGGUGGAUAAUUUCGAAGGAGAGAGGCGUGAUAGCUGAAGGCUUGACCUCCCAUAAUGUUUUUAGACACUGCUGUCACAGAAGCAAAUUCAAAUCCAGACAGAGUGAGCAGAACCCCGACUCAAAGCAAUCAACAGGUAAGGAAAUCAGGGAUUGUGUGUCAUGACUCAAUACCCUCCUAACGCAGUCGUCCAAUAACCGGAAGGUUGGCGGUUCGACUCCUCCAUAUCCUAAGUCUGUCUGUUGUGUCCUUGGGCAAGACACUUAACCCACCUUGCUCCCAGUGUGUGUCCUCCACUGGUGUAUGAUUGUGAGUGUUGUGUAGAGGCCGUAGAUGCAAACUGGCAGCCACGUUUCCAUCAGUCUGCCCCAGGACAGCUGUGACUACUACAGUAGUUUACCACCACCAAAGUGUGACUGUGUGAGCGAUCGAAUGAUGUACCCAAUGUAAAGUGCUUUAAGGGUCUCUGAUAAAGCGAUAUAUGAAAUCUGAUGCAUUAUUAAUAUUAUUUAAAAAGAUAAACAUCAAAAAAUAGUUUGUUUAAAUAUGAUUUUAUUGAUUGUAAAAUUAUUACUAAAUACCACUAAAAAAGACGGCAUUCCCAAUUGGCACCAUGGUAGGUCAAACUCACAUAGCUCAGGAUUCUGAUUGGCUUACUUGAAGGACAAAUUAUCAUUAAACAGAAAAUUAAAUUUUUAAUAUAGAUGCUACUACCACGACCGCAUAUGGUUUAAGCUCCUUUGUAGUGAUCAGUAAGUUAAAGAUGCUCUCACCUGCUCUGCAGCCAGUGCACGGAUCGCAGGACAGGAUGUUGCUUCCUUGGUCGGGAUGUUUGGGAUGCCGUAGUUCCUAAGGCUGCACUCACAUCCACGCUUGUUAGCUUUCAUUAUUUCCCGACUCUCAAGACCAGCGUGAGGCAGACACUAACAUUUUUGCCAACAGAGGUGAAGUGUGCCCGACUUCUUUGCACUGAUUGGAUUGAUAUGAUCAGACUCACCCUUGUGUACCUUUUGCCAUUGAGUAUUAAUAAUUAUCGUGAGGUUUUAACUAAUCAGAAACAAGCCUUUCACACACGAAAAAAAUAAAAUAAAAUAAAAUAAAAAAUACAAAAAAGAAAGAGGAAAAAAACAGCCUAGAAUAGGAUUUGACAGGUUUUUUUUUUACUUUACAUCAUGGUUUUGGGUCGUUUUAAUCACCAAAUGGAAACAACUUUAAGUAUGUAUAGCACCAGUACUCCCGCUGAAAUGGUUGCCCAUAUGUUGUGCUUUAAAGCUCACCACACACAGUCAUUCUAGUCAGCACCCAUGGGAUUUGGAUUAAGUUUACACAGCGCAGUAAAAAACGUUAAACAAUGGGUGUCCUCGUGUCGGGGAGCAUUUGGAUCAAAACAACCUCUGUGGAUUGUGAGAGGCCUUCUACACAUGUGUGCUUAGCCACAUAUGGAUCAAUACAGCCCCACUGUAAUGUUUUUAGCUUUUCUGCUUUGUUAUUUUUCAGCGUGGAAAUGAUGUCUAUAAAGUAAAAUUACUUGCAAAUUUAGAUGCAUUUUGUACACUUGAUCCGGCCUGAGCUUUUUGUGUCAUGUUUUGACUAAGAGUUUGGCAUCCUGGGCAUCCAAGUUGACAUGAGGUGGAUUUGUGCAGCGAUAGAUUAUGAGCUGGUUGAUCAUGGUGGUUCAGGUGUUGUGGUUUUUCAGUUAUCAUUCAUAAACCUUGCACCUCUCUGCUGAGGCUGAUCACCGCCGAGGUUUUUCUCUCCUCUUGCUUUAAUGGCUCACUUCCACAGGCCUCGCUCGCUCCUUGGCGUUUGCUUUUCCUGGCAGAGGUGAUCCCCGCUGCCCUGCUUUUGGGGAGUUAUUCAAUUAUAAAUCUUCCACCCUUCUUCUGCUGUGCCCCCCUGACUCCCUCCCUGCUCUCCCUCUCUCACCGGUCCAUGUGUUAGCCUGCCAAGACCAGUAAAACACACUCUGCUCCGCUGGUGCACCCUUCUCUAGUCUCGUGCCCAAGAAUUUAUUAUUCUCAGGGUGGCGAAGCGGAGUGCGGUGUGUUUUUGGAAAAGAGGGACCCCCCCUCAAGCCUCAGUGCCAACAGAUGACAGUGACAUAUAGCAGGAAAGCCACCCAGAAGGAGAAUGAUCUCACACCUCAGCCACGCGCUCAGUGGGAGUAGGAGAAAAUAAAGAGAGAGAGAGAGAGAGCAGAGAUCUGCAGCUGAGGGCAGAGGGGACAAUAAAAUCAAGAUGAAAAGUGGCAAAGACGGCGGAACAAAAAGGUCAAAAGACAAAAACAAACACCAGCAACUGAAAGCAAACACUAAAACGCAUGCAGAUGAUCUAAGAGAACCAGAAAUAUUCUUCCUACUUCUGCAAAAUCUUUGUGCUAAUCUUGAACAUUAUGUUCUAAUAACUCUCCAGAUAAACCAAAGUAUGUGAAACCUCUGAGACAUUCUCCUCUUACCCUCAGAGCGAGCCUGGUUUCUGGAGGAAAUGCACCGCUCCAUCAGGCAUCUCCAGAAAAUCCUUAGCUGUGUUUGAGAUUUUUAAAGCAGAUGCAUCCUCCUCUUUACAACAUCUGUUUCUAAAAGAGCCUUCGAAGCAGCCAAUCUGAAUUUCCUCGGGUGGGCACUCGGUCUCUACGCCCCCUCCCUCCUCCACCUCUUGCUGCUCUUCAUUUAUAUCCUUCCUGAUGCAAUACUUUUCCCCGGCUGGCAACCUUAUGCCCUCACUCUGCCGUGAAGCUAAGCUCUUUCUUUUUUCUUUAGCGUAUAAAAAUGAAUGUAGCCACUUGUAUAACUCAUAACUUCAAUGACUACCUUUCUGGGGCCUUCUGCGUGCCACCAUGUUGGUUUUUUAGGAGCCAGAGAUGACCAUAUUUGAAGCUGAGGGUGGAACUGGAGAAGCUAUGCUGUCUGUGUCUACAUUUUUGGGCUGGCUAAUUAGCUUGUUCACUUAUUUCCAAGCGGAUUGGAUUUGUAGGCUAUUUAUGGCGGUAACUGACCUGAGUGGUUUAUUUACCAAACCAAAGAGGCUAAAAAACCUCGUGGUAUGAAGCAGACUCGCUGUUCGCUCAGCCAAAUCUCUGCAAAGGAGAGGCUAAACGACAGCAACCAUGUAACCUAAUAUAACCAGAGUUCUCCUUACUGCAGCCCACUGUCGUCUCUGCAGGGCAAAGUAAACUUCAAUCAUGACUGCCAUGCAUAAUAAUAAUGUAUCAGAAACUCUAAACGGGCUUAACAUCCAAGAAUGAGUUAGGCUGAAACUGAUACCAGCUAAUAUGUGCCAAUAUGUCAAUACAAUAAUACUAGAUCUUCAAACGGGCAAAAAAAUGGCGCACAGAAUUUUUAGAGGUGAGUUCAUUCAAAUAAACCGUGUAAAAUGAAAAAAAUACUUGUGUGAUAUUAAAGGUGGGGUAGGCAGGAGAAAUCUUGAAUGUUAACACUACCCCUCCAGACCAGUUUUCCCCUCAGCUCCUCCUCUCCCCUCCAUCUCUGCUCCAGCAAGCCCCGCCCACAAACAGACACACCUGCUCACUCGUAUCGUUUCAUUAAAAUCAGAUAUAAUGCAGAUAAAUCAGAUAAUUACAAAUGGGGCCCAGUCAACGUGAAAGUAAAAAGCAUUGGCGCUACUGUAGAUGCCAACACAAGCAAUGCCAACAGACUACCAGCAAACAUUGUGUUUGCUGGUAGUCUGUUGGCAUUGCUUGUGUUUUCCAUAUUUUCUGGUUGGUUUCCACUGUCCUAUGUUCUAGCUCGCUAACUUUGUUUGGGCUCGUGCACGUUAUUGGAGGAUGAGGGGCCUGCCUCACAACACAAGGGAGCAUCAUCUGCCUCAUAACCAAUCAGCACUAAGGACCAGUGUCCGCCUCACAACCAAUCAGGUUGGGGGAGGCGGUGAACGGCUUUGUUUACGGUCAAAAAGAGCGGGCCGCUCAAAAACUGUAAAAAUGUUGACUACACAGACAUGACAAAACACAGCGAUAUUGUUAUAUUACCAAAUGUCAUCAAUAACUAUCAGCAAUUGACUGAAAUUAAAAACUUUUUUGUAUAUACACCACAAAAAAAAUAUGCUUCUUUAAUGGAAUCCUGCCUGCCCCACCUUUUAAUAUGAAAAAUCCCCAAAGGCACAAACAACAUAUUCAUGAAAAGAAAGUAAAUUUCAUUGACUUUAAAUUCAGAUAAAAAACUUACAUACAUAUUUUUCUACCCUGCUGGAGACAUUAUGUAAUCUGCUGUAAAUACAGUAUUUGUUCUAUAGGAGACCGACUUCUUUUUGGAGUCUGUCUCCAGUGGCGACAUGAGGAACUGCAGUUUUGAGCCUUGCCUCUGCACUAACUUCUGCUCUCAUAACUGGAGGUUGCUGCUUUGGUUCCCCUUCACCAACACGUGCAGGUACAUCGAGUGCAACCACAGAGAGAGAGGUUCACCCUUUACCUCAGAUCAAACGCAGCGUUAGUGUGAUGUCACCCACAGCAGCCCCCAAAACCACUUAUUGCUCUAAAUGAGAGCCAUUAGCCGAGCAAACAAAGACUUAAAACCUUCUGUCUUUUAAUCAAAGGGAGAGCAGGAAGUACAAUUAACAUCUGGGGCAAGAUGUGUCAAAGAGGGGUCAGACUGUAACUGUGUAGGAUCCUGUUACAGUCAUACAGUCUGAAGCCUGUAUGGCACUUUGUGUAGAGCCUAAUGAGAGUCAGUAACCCCAACAUGGAAGACAAAGUGGUCUGCUUUCCUCACCAGGCAAUGGGGACAUUUGAAAACUAUCCAGGUCAGAGCUGGAAACCUGCCUUUCUACCUCUCUGUCUCUCUGUCUGCACUUUCUCUCCUUAUCCCCCCCUUGAACAUUUGGUUUUCUCCCCUCAAUAACGUCUGCAGUGGCAUAUUACAACUUGGAAAUGGGUUUUAAAAGGGAGUAGAGUGGGGUGCCAGAAUGGGAAAAACAUGGAUUGGCUCAACGAAAGCAGAUUAAGUGGGCAUGCCAAACCUCACGCUUUGUCAGGAGCAAGAAAAAAAGACCCUUUUUAACAUUAGUGAAGGACCAACCGCAUAGCAGGGGGAAAUCAAAAAAUCCCACCCUCUUAGACAAGGGGAGAAUGAAAAUUUCAGGCGGUGAUUUGUCACUUAAUACAGAUCUUUUUCUUAAGUGUCGCAAGAGUGAAUAAAACUGGGUGCUGAGAGGGCAAGCCUUCCUUUUUUAAUCAUUGCUGCAGGUCUGUGUGUGCUCAGGGAACUGUUAAGCCAAUUCAUAGGCCUGCAAACAUCCUGUAACAGCAACAUAAAUCCACUUAUCCAGGCUUUUGUGUUUGGUAAUGGAUGUUGUGCUGUAUUAUGUAGAUGUGAUAUGAUGGGACUGAUUGCUGUGAAGAUCACUGAGGCUGCUUUCUAGCACCGCCCUGCCACCCAAACUGUCGGCCAACGAGCCGUUCAUCCCAUGUUGCCUCUGUUGGUGGUCCCUGGUGUAAGCUAUAUUUUCCCCUCACUUCUCUCGCUCUCUCUCUUUUUUUAUAGCUAACACAAAAUUGUUCCUAAUUCGCUGCUGCUAGAGGGGGGUAAUUUGCGGCUUUUGGCUGAGUGUCGCAAGCCCCAAAUUUGAAAAAGCUGCUGAGUUGAAGGCGUUCUGUGAAAGAAGCAGCGACGAAGAGUAGAGAGAAACAUGGCCUCAAUUCAAUCAGAGGAAAAAAGAAAAACAUGAUGAUCCCCAAGAAGCAGAGGAGAGCAAUGCGAUAAUAACUGUUGGGUAAUAUAAGCUGCAGCCACCAACAAUUAUUUUAAUGAAAUGAUGCCAAUAAUGUCUACUCUUCUUUUUCAAGUUAAUGUGAUUUAUACUGAGCCUAUAAAAACACUCAACCUUUUAUCAAACUAGGUUGGCUAAAAAAAGUCACAUAACUUCUCUUUUAUGGUCAAAUUCCUUGAGAUAAAAAUCUCCAAGAGGAGAUGGAAAAGCAAACAUUAAAACAUUAUCUCAGUACGGUGGCCCUCAAGGAUAAUUGCACAAACAUCUUAUGGCACAAAAAAAUCCUGGUGCGCUACAAACAUUUGAAAAAAUAUUUCAAGUCAGAACUUUUUUUCCACAAACAGACAAACAUAUUUAUGAGCCAUAAAAUGAUCUAAUGAAACCCUAAAACUUAAUUUUAAAGUACAAAAAAAUAUAUUGCAGACAACGCAGGAACAAUUUUAUGAGACGCAACAUAUUUCUUAAAGCCCCAAUUUCUCCAUAAAACAUAAAAUACUUGAAAAAUCACAAAUGUCACAAACACAGAUUUUCUCAAAACACUAAAUAUAUUCCACGAAACACAAAAGAAGUCAUGAAAGACAAGAAAUACAAAAUCAUUUCAUAAGCCACACAAAAAGAAUCACAAAACACAAAAAUUUAAAAAUAUUUGCAUCUUGAAAAUAUUCUUCUGAUCAUUGAAAUAUGUUUGUGUAAACAUUUUUUUUCCUGUUUUAUUUCUCAUUAGCAUGAAUACACAAGAUUAAAAAAGCAGAGAAAAGGGAGACUUUUGUCCACAGGGAGCGCCAAAACAAACACAAACUUUAACUCCUUCAGAUUUGUCAUGAGGCUUAUUUUACAAGACUCAAUUUGAUUGGUCAACCCAGUUAAAAUAAGAUUUUUAUUUAAAAACACACACACAAAAAGAUAAAUUAAAUCUUUGCAAAAAUGUUCUGCCACAGUUCACCUUUGCCUGUUAACACUGUGGCAAAGAUGUUAUGUGUCCAUCCUAGGCAGGUAUUGUAUGUCCUAAGUUGAUGUUGUUGUUUUUUCAGCAAUCACAACUUACAUGAGAUACCGGAGAGUUAUAGAGAAAGGAUAAGAGAUAUCACUUUGUCCACAGGGGGGUGCCAAAAUCAACACAAACUUAAAUUUCUCCUGAGAGCUUUAACAGUAAUGUAAAAAAAAAUGUUCAUGUGUGUAAAUAAGCUUACUUAACAUAAUAUGAGUCUAUUAAAGUUUUGUUUGCAACAGAGCUUAUUUCUGCAACAAUCCCAAAUCCAAGAAAAUCCCAUUAGCUUUUUGUUGAGGAAACAGAGGCUCAUGACUUGCCACAGAAAUAUGUCAUCCCUGCAGCACACUCCAGUGUGAGAGCUCAAAGAGAGGCUAAAGACGCUUAAAAAGUGGUCCAAAUAUCUGGAUUUCUUAUUUAAACUAGUGUGUUUACUGAGAUUUUGGACAUAACUCCUUCAGUAUGUCAAUAAACAAACAAACAGAUUAUCAAACAACAUGUGCACCAAAGAAGAGAAACAUCAAGGUGUCAGCUAUUUUAUAUUGUGAAGAUACUUGAGAUAAAAAUAAAAAUAUCUAUUUAACAAUAUAAAAGAUAAAAAGAGCUUAUUUAUUUAGUGGUCAAACAGGCUGCUGCAGACUCAUUUCUCUCUGAAGACCUCGUGAGUGGACCAAACUUUAUCUGGAACAACAAGCUUCAGUGUGAUAAACAGAUUAACAGAUUUUCAAUUGUCAUGUAUUGAUUGUAGCAAAUAGAAAAUAUAUAUAUCUUGCCAACAGAGAUGUGCAGUUGAUAGUUUUCUGGAAAAGUUCCAGUGAUACACAAGAUAAAUCAUACAUUCAACUUUCAAAACACUAUUAUGCUGCUAAUCGUAGAUCAAGUUAACAGCUUUUUAUUCUCGUGAGAAAAUGUCUGAAAAAAAUGUGUCAAUCUAAAAUUAAAUCUUAAUCUCUGAGAGUGUUUUCUUUUCUUGAGUGUGGCCCUAAUACUUCUACAGAUUAGAGGAGCAGCCAACUGCCUGAAUGGUAAUGACGAAUGAGAAGCAUUGAGUGAUUCUCAAAUAUGUUUAAUUAAAAAAAAUAAACACUUCCUUUUUCAGCAUAUCAGAACCACGGUGUCAUGAGUAUCAAGAUUCUGAGGAAACUGAGGUUUAUAUAAAACCAGGUGAGCAAACAGGCAGCUUGUCCUCAGGUUAUUCAUGUUCCUCAGGUGGCUGCUCUUGUAACAUCACAAAGUAUUUUUAGUCUACAUACAGAUUAACCAUGACAAUUUCUUCCUAAAAAAAAAAAAAAACAACAACAACAAAAAAAACAACCUAUUUCUUAUAAUACAGCAACUUGAGUUUUUACAUGACUUUUUUAAUCACUUUGUUAUUCUCAGAAUAUUUCUGACCCUCAUUUCACAGCACCGCAACUGAAUUCUCUUGAGACCUUAUUCUCGUAAUAUUCAUGAAUUUUGGACCAAUACUAAUACUCAUACUCAAAACAGAAGGAAGAGUUCUGUGGAGUUUGUUUGUGAAUUUUGUCACCCUUGAACAAAACCAGCCUGUUUCCGCCUCUUACCGCUCUUCAUGCCAAACUAAGUUGGUACUGGUGUUGGUUUUCUUCUCAGAAUGUCUGAGAAAUUCAACACUGGCAUCCCCAGAAAUGUGAAAUUAUGACUUUUAGCAUUGUUCUUCUGUCAAACUGAGACACUAGCCCUGUUUCCUAUUUGAAGCAGAAAAAGUCUUGGUCUUGAUUAUGGUGAUUCUUAACAUAUGAAUAGACCACAUGCUGGUCUCUGUUUAUUGUAGGAAGUAGAGAUUUGUUACCAAAUUAAAAGCACUCACACAAUAAUGGGCUUUGCAUUCCGUUGUUGGGUGGGCUCAUCCGUCAUUACGUCGACUGAGUCACUGGUGUAAUAUCAGUCGUACAGCUGUACUGGGCUGAUACCCAUCAAUUACAUUUAAUUCAUUUCAGUUCAAUUAGUGUAACUCAAUUGACAAAUUCACACCAAAGACACUUUGUGUUGCAACUUAGAACAGAGGACUUAGAAAGCCAGGGAACGUAAUGAGAAGCAAAAGGAGUUUUUUCUUCAACUUAUCUGGUUAACUGCUGACCUGAGUGGCAGACCUACUCUCUUUUACAUUAUUAACCGGCUGGCUUAAAUCCUUGAUUCUGAUUAGCCAAAACCUCAUAACAACAGAGCAGUAAUUCUCAACUGCAAAAACAAUGCCAAGGACAACCUGAUCACACGCGUCAUAUCAGAUCAAUCCGCACUAAGGAGUUUGGCACUCUACCUCUUGACCUUGCGGCGAAAACGUGAGCUUCUGUGUGAGUGGGGAACAAUGAGGGUGGGCACAGCUGCAGAGAAAGCCUGAGGAGCAACUGCACCCCAACUAUGUCUGAUCGUAGGGCCGGCUUUGACAUACGCCAUAUAGGCAGCUGAAGAGAGCACCUCAUGCUAGUCACCCACAAAAAUUUUGCUU